UACGGAGGGUGCAAGCGUUAUCCGGAUUCACUGGGUUUAAAGGGUGCGUAGGUGGGUUGGUAAGUCAGUGGUGAAAUCUCCGAGCUUAACUUGGAAACUGCCAUUGAUACUAUCAGUCUUGAAUACCGUGGAGGUCAGCGGAAUAUGUCAUGUAGCGGUGAAAUGCUUAGAUAUGACAUAGAACGCCAAUUGCGAAGGCAGCUGGCUACACGAAUAUUGACACUGAGGCACGAAAGCGUGGGGAUCAAACAGG
RNAcentral lists this ribosomal RNA (253 nucleotides) under uncultured bacterium. RNAcentral describes it as "partial 16S ribosomal RNA". It matches the Rfam family "Bacterial small subunit ribosomal RNA", at positions 524 to 776 of the family's 1533-position model. The record is from RNAcentral.